Molecule: long non-coding RNA, 1808 nt
Organism: Dermacentor andersoni
Lineage: Eukaryota; Metazoa; Arthropoda; Arachnida; Ixodida; Ixodidae
Source: RefSeq, a predicted model, not a curated record
ACAACCGUGUUCAAGCUAUCCAGCUUGUCCAACAGGGUAGCUACACUCCCGGUAUUCAUCACUGGUGCACGUACGGACCACAAGAUGAGUCUGUCCGCGACCACCUACACGGUGACAUCAUUAUUUGCUAGGCUUCCUCUCUUCGCCAGUGAGUCAAGCUGGCUUCACACAACGCAGCAAAGUCCACUGACAAGCAUCACGUGACUGAGCCGCAACGAACUGCUCCGCCAGCAGCUUAUCUGCUUCGUCCUCGUGUGCGCAGUGAUUAGGCAACACUGAGUCACCUAAUGCUCGUCAGCACAAUUUGUUCCGUCACUUUAAUUCAGCUUGAGUGUGUGCCUAGAAGCGGAAACGCAGCGCAAUAAAUAAAAAAAAAACGAGGAUGUGUGUGUCAUUGAAGCUCACUGGCCUCUCCGUUCGAUCGCCAGUGCUGCCUCCAGCUUUCUUGUCGUUUUCAACGGGAGUCCUUCUCACAUGAUUAAUUUUCUUGCACUAAGUGGAAGGAGAAAGCAUUAAACCUUGGUUUAUUAUGGGAGAGUAUUUCAGCAGUAUUGGAAGACUCUUUGCAAGUAAGUAGCGCAAAACACGAAGGAAAAUGUUCCGAGCUGAUCCGCUUCAUAGUGCAUGGCUUGGCAUGUGUAACGCACGGUCAGGGUUGUCCGCAGUCUCAGAGAUCGUAACGGAGCAAAAGGGUUCCAUCUCUGAGGGCACGUGCUGUCCAACUGGGAGAGAAAGAAAACUCGGGAGAGAAAGACAAUCCGCUUGAAAAUUGUUGCGAACCGUACUAACACGGGACAUUGCUGGUUAAUGAAAAGCAUGCGACUCUGGUUUACCUGCAAAAAAUUAUCAAUAAACUUUGACUUAUUAUAGGCUACCAUCAACCUGUGUACUGAAGCAUCGGUAACCGUCCUUCGAAACCGCUGCGGCAUUUUUCACCCUCGCGAUUAUCGUUGGGCAGCCGCGAAGCAGUCAAAAAGUUCACCCAGGUGAAGCGCGUUACUGAUUAAGGAUGGCCACUAGUCAGAAGAAGCCGUUCCAGCCCAGAAAGCGAUGGCCUUGCGCUGCCGUCUGGUUAUCUACCACAAGGGUUCAGAGGUGGCCUGCAAUGGCAUGGUUCAAGCACUUACAUGAUGUUCUGAGGGCAGCAAGAUAAGGAUGGUGACAAAGAUAGGCAUGCCAUGAACAUGUUCAGCUAUCGAGAGGAAAGCACGGCGCAAGUGGUGUUCCGAUCCAAGCGUCCCUUCCUAACUUUGCAGCCCGCUCCGCCUAUGCGUGGUCGACGGUGGGGACGGCGACUCGGCUGUUGGGCGCGUCCUGCUGGUGUCACGCGAUCCUCCAAGACGGCGCUGACGACAGCGCCCAUUGUUCCUCUGCUCUCUAAGCCAUCGCCCUACGGCUUCCUUCAAAGGAACUGUGGCCACGCUGCCAUUCGGCGAAGCUGCAGCAGCUGCUCGACGCCCGAGAAUCGCACGCAGCAGCCCAACUGGCGUCAUUGAGGAGGUAAUGUACGUGUCCCGACCUGCCUGCAUGCUGCCCUUCGGCGACGCUGCGGUGGCUGCUCGAUGCCGAAGAAUCGCACGCAGCAGCACCGCCGCGAGCAGCACUCACUUCGCCAAGUGCAUCGCAUGCUGCAGCUGCGGCGCCUCCAGCGAUCCAGUGUUGCCGAACGAGGUCACGUCGACUAUUCUUUCUCUAGAAACAGUCGACGCGCGUGGUCACCACGUUUAUGUUAACUCUUUUGCUUUCGUGAUCCGUCACUUUUUGUUCUACUCCUUGUUUAAUAUAUCAAUAAAUAUGGUUUUGAUUGU